UGGGUUAAGUCCCGCAACGAGCGCAACCCUUAUCCUUUGUUGCCAGCGGUCCGGCCGGGAACUCAAAGGAGACUGCCAGUGAUAAACUGGAGGAAGGUGGGGAUGACGUCAAGUCAUCAUGGCCCUUACGACCAGGGCUACACACGUGCUACAAUGGCGCAUACAAAGAGAAGCGACCUCGCGAGAGCAAGCGGACCUCAUAAAGUGCGUCGUAGUCCGGAUUGGAGUCUGCAACUCGACUCCAUGAAGUCGGAAUCGCUAGUAAUCGUGGAUCAGAAUGCCACGGUGAAUACGUUCCCGGGCCUUGUACACACCGCCCGUCACACCAUGGGAGUGGGUUGCAAAAGAAGUAGGUAGCUUAACCUUCGGGAGGGCGCUUACCACUUUGUGAUUCAUGACUGGGGUGAAGUCG
RNAcentral lists this ribosomal RNA (412 nucleotides) under Shigella flexneri. Its description in RNAcentral is "bacterial SSU rRNA". It matches the Rfam family "Bacterial small subunit ribosomal RNA", at positions 1076 to 1488 of the family's 1533-position model. Lineage: Bacteria; Pseudomonadati; Pseudomonadota; Gammaproteobacteria; Enterobacterales; Enterobacteriaceae. The record is from RNAcentral.